CUUCCGUUCUCCCCGCACAGGAGGGCGGAUAGAGGGGCCCGGAGCGCUCUGCCCUGACCGCCCGGGGCCCUCACGGUCGGCCGCUCGGCCGAUGCAACUCCGGGCUGCGGUGCCGGGUGGGUUGAGGGUCCCGCCCUGGCGC
RNAcentral lists this non-coding RNA (142 nucleotides) under Streptomyces malaysiensis. RNAcentral describes it as "Streptomyces sRNA scr5239". It matches the Rfam family "Streptomyces sRNA scr5239". From Rfam's summary of the family: It inhibits agarase DagA expression by direct base pairing to the dagA coding region, and it represses translation of methionine synthase metE (SCO0985) at the 5' end of its open reading frame. The record is from Rfam by way of RNAcentral. Lineage: Bacteria; Bacillati; Actinomycetota; Actinomycetes; Kitasatosporales; Streptomycetaceae.